RNAcentral lists this long non-coding RNA (532 nucleotides) under Rattus norvegicus (Norway rat). RNAcentral's name for it is "long non-coding RNA NONRATT018673". The record is from RNAcentral. Lineage: Eukaryota; Metazoa; Chordata; Mammalia; Rodentia; Muridae.
UGAGGAGACAGUUAUAUCAAGCUCCUGUCAGCAUGUACCUCUUGGCAUCCCCAAUAGUGACUGGGUUUGGUGACUGCAUGUGGGAUGGAUCCUCACGUGUGGCAGUCUCUGGAUGGCCUUUCCUUCAGUCUCUGCUCUAUACUUUGUCUUCUUUUAUCCUCCUAUGAGUAUUUUGUUCCCCUCUUCUAAGAAGAACUGAAGCAUCCACACGUUGGUCUUUCUUCUUCUUGAACUUCAUGUGGUCUGUAAACUGUAUCUUGGGUAUUCUGAGCUUUGGGGCCAAUAUCUACUUAUCAGUGAGUGCAUAUCAUGUGUGUUCUUUUGUGAUUGGGUGACCUCACUCAGGGUGAUAUUUAGAAGAGAAAGUGGGGAAGCGCUUAGAACACAUGGGCACUGGGGAAAAUUUCCUGAACAGAAAACCAGUGGCUUAUGCUUUAAGAUUAACAGUAGAUGGGGGUUGGGGAUUUAGCUCAGUGGUAGAGUGCUUGCCUAGCAAGCGCAAGGCCCUGGGUUCGGUCCCCAGCUCUGAAAA